UACGUAGGUGGCGAGCGUUGUCCGGAAUUACUGGGUGUAAAGCGCGCGUAGGCGGUAGGCCAAGUCUGCUGUGAAAUCGCCCGGCUCAACUGGGCGCGGUCGGUGGAAACUGGUCAACUGGAGGACGGUAGAGGCGAGUGGAAUUCCCGGUGUAGUGGUGAAAUGCGUAGAGAUCGGGAGGAACACCAGUGGCGAAGGCGGCUCGCUGGGCCGGACCUGGCGCUGAGGCGCGAAGGCGUGGGGAGCGAACGGG
Molecule: ribosomal RNA, 253 nt
Filed under: uncultured bacterium
Lineage: Bacteria
Description: partial 16S ribosomal RNA
Rfam family: Bacterial small subunit ribosomal RNA
Source: RNAcentral